This 468-nucleotide ribosomal RNA is filed under the name uncultured bacterium. RNAcentral describes it as "partial 16S ribosomal RNA". It matches the Rfam family "Bacterial small subunit ribosomal RNA", at positions 28 to 507 of the family's 1533-position model. The record is from RNAcentral.
GGCGAACGCUGGCGGCGUGCUUAACACAUGCAAGUCGAACGGAAAGGCCCUGCUUUUGUGGGGUGCUCGAGUGGCGAACGGGUGAGUAACACGUGAGUAACCUGCCCUUGACUUUGGGAUAACUUCAGGAAACUGGGGCUAAUACCGGAUAGGAGCUCCUGCUGCAUGGUGGGGGUUGGAAAGUUUCGGCGGUUGGGGAUGGACUCGCGGCUUAUCAGCUUGUUGGUGGGGUAGUGGCUUACCAAGGCUUUGACGGGUAGCCGGCCUGAGAGGGUGACCGGCCACAUUGGGACUGAGAUACGGCCCAGACUCCUACGGGAGGCAGCAGUGGGGAUUAUUGCACAAUGGGCGGAAGCCUGAUGCAGCAACGCCGCGUGCGGGAUGACGGCCUUCGGGUUGUAAACCGCUUUCGCCUGUGACGAAGCGUGAGUGACGGUAAUGGGUAAAGAAGCACCGGCUAACUACGUG